GACGAACGCUGGCGGCGCGCUUAAAACAUGCAAGUCGAACGUGAAGCUCGGAGCUUGCUCCGGGUGGAAAGUGGCGAACGGGUGAGGAACACGUGAGGAACCUGCCCCGAAGACCGGGACAAGCCGAGGAAACUUGGUCUAAUACCGGAUGCCCUCACCGGACCGCAUGAUCCGGUGAGGAAAUGGAUUCCGCUUCGGGAUGGUCUCGCGCACUAUCAGCUUGUUGGUGAGGUAAUGGCUCACCAAGGCUACGACGGUUAGCUGGUCUGAGAGGAUGUCCAGCCACACUGGGACUGAGACACGGCCCAGACUCCUACGGGAGGCAG
Molecule: ribosomal RNA, 326 nt
Filed under: uncultured Actinomycetes bacterium
Lineage: Bacteria; Bacillati; Actinomycetota; Actinomycetes
Description: bacterial SSU rRNA
Rfam family: Bacterial small subunit ribosomal RNA
Source: RNAcentral